UGAGGAAUUUUGCGCAAUGGACGAAAGUCUGACGCUGCGACGCCGCGUGAACGAUGAAGUCUUUCGGGAUGUAAAGUUCUGUCAGCAGGGAAAAUUGUGAUUGUACCUGCAGAGGAAGCACCGGCAAACUAUGUGCCAGCAGCCGCGGUAAUACAUAGGGUGCGAGCGUUGUCCGGAUUUACUGGGCGUAAAGAGUAUUGAGGUGGUAUCCUAAGUCAAAUUUUAAAGGCAGGAGCUCAACUCCUGUUCGGGUUUGAAACUGGGAUACUAGAGAUUGGGAGAGGAAAGUGGAACUAACAGUGUAGCGGUGAAAUGCGUAGAUAUUGUUAGGAACACCCGUGGCGAAAGCGACUUUCUGGACCAAUUCUGACGCUGUAAUACGAAAGCGUGGGGAGCAAACAGG
RNAcentral lists this ribosomal RNA (403 nucleotides) under uncultured bacterium. RNAcentral's name for it is "bacterial SSU rRNA". It matches the Rfam family "Bacterial small subunit ribosomal RNA", at positions 355 to 776 of the family's 1533-position model. The record is from RNAcentral.